Molecule: long non-coding RNA, 2900 nt
Organism: Meriones unguiculatus (Mongolian gerbil)
Lineage: Eukaryota; Metazoa; Chordata; Mammalia; Rodentia; Muridae
Exons: 4
Source: RefSeq, a predicted model, not a curated record
GGAGGCUGGAGAGUGAAUCAGUCUGGGCCGAUGAUCUGAACCCAGGUGGUCCAGCCCUGUGGCCUGUCUCCACCAUGACUCUUAGGCCGAGCCACAGCCACCACCAUACUUGCAGCAAGCACUCCCUUGGGAGCUGACUGUGGGCCAGGCCCAGCGCGAAUGGCUUAGACAUGGGGUCUCAUUUAAUCCUCACUCUAGGACCACAAGGCCGGCAAGCCCAUCUUCCUCCCACCCUCUGAAUCUGAAUCCAAGGGUUACAUGAGCCUGAUCUCUGCAGUCAAGACUCCCCUGCUCUGCUGAGUCUCCUUGACCUUCUUCAUGUAGAGUCACAGCUGGGCUCGGACACACAGAACUGGUGUGACUACACACGGGUCAGCAUGCACUGGUCACGCAGCUUGGACCUGCGGAGCAAGCCCAGGCUACCAAAGGCCAGCCCCAGCUAUUUUAAUCUCUCCAGUCCUCGUCCCCGCCUCUCCCCUUGGCAGCCAUUUUUUUGAGGGGAAGUUGCCAAGUGGAUGGCUCUGAGGAUGGCCACUUCUGGUACAUGGCCUUACUGAGCCCCUGGGCUGACUCUUCACGAUCUUCGGAACUGAUUCAAAUAAAGAGAGCUAUCUGAGUCCCGGUCUCUACGAGACAACUCACGACCGAAAAUUCAAACACACGGUAAAAAGCAGCAAAGAAGGAGGCCACGGCGAAGGUGCAGCGGGCGAAGUACCUGCCACAGAAGUGUGAGGAUCUGAGUUCAGAGCUCCCGAGCUCAAUAAAGCUGUAUGCACCCCUUAUACCAGGGCUGCUAUGUCCCCAUAGGGGGCAGAGACAGGCUAAGCUUCUGGGUCAGCUGAUCUGCCGUCUGAGGCAGGGAAAAAGAGGCCGGUUUCAAACGAGGUAGGUAGGAGGGGAGCGCCAACUUCUAAAGCUGUCCUCUGUCCUCCGGCCUUCACCCAGGCUCCUUGACAGAACACACGAGGCACGUGUGCAUACUCACGCCUUGCACGCAUUUUGAAAGAGAGAGAGAAGGAGAAGAGACAGUUUGAAAAGGAAUAAAAGCACAGUGGACUGGGCCUGCUAUCCUGCCAGGCAAGGCAGCCUCCCUCCUCCCCUGCCGCCCUCCGCCCUAAAACUCCCAACACAUCUGCAGCAAUUCAGACCUGACACCGGCAGCAGCACAGGUGUCAGCCUUCACAAGGUGACAGCACAGCCAUUCUGACAACUGACCUUUCCUGCUGCUCACGCCAGCUCCAGGCUCCCGGGCAGGCAGAGGGGCCGACCUCACCACGAACUUAGGGAGUUUGCAAAGAAAGUCCAGAAAGCCUAACAUUCAAGUCACAGCACCGUCACACACCAGGCAAUCUGUGUGGGUCUGUUUCCUCCAAGGCUUCCAGUGACCCCAGGGAUGAAAGUACCUGGCCCUUGUUUCCCAAUAGGUGACUAAACCUGGGUUCAAACCUGAGCCAAGCCCGGGCAGUGGCAAUUCGUGAGUCACUCCUGCUAGUUCAAGGGACAGAGCUGUGCCCCACAAUCUGGGAGGAUGCGCCCCACAGUCUGCUGGGAUGUCUUCCCUUCCAGGCUGUUCCUCCAAAGGCCUGCCGCAGGGGAGUACUUCUCUCUUUGGAAGGAGGGAGGAGAAUCGUGCAACCUGAACAGGCUGGGAAGGAAGUACCCCUGAAUUCGUUUGCAAAACUCCACUCUGCUGCCCCCACUUUCAGGACCGGCUUUCAGCAGGAAAGAGGCUUCCAAGGGCCCCACCUCCUGGGCCUCCUGGGGGAGGGGCUGCUGCCUUCUGCCUUGCUCCAUUUAUUACCCUUGUCACCACCAGGGUCUCAGGGGACCGAGGCGCUUUGGGGGAGCCAAGGCUGUCCAGGAGCAGAGCUGACAGCUGGAGGCUGGGGGUGGGGUGACUUCAAAGGCUGGCAAGGAUCAAAAGCAGAUGGAGGGUCCCAGGCGGUGGGUCCACUCACCUUUCCUAGCACAGGGCUACCUUGGCUGAGCACAGGGCGCCUUUCCCUGGGAGAAGCAGAGAGGGCAGAUGGGCCAGGAGAGCUUUGGAGACUCAACACUCCACAUCCACAGAGGGCUUGAAAUCGAAGCCUGAUGACAGCACUCAUGAGCUUCUGGGUAGACAGCUGGGGCCCGAACCCAGCCUCGCCGGCUGCCUCACCCCCUUUGAUUUCAAUUCCAAAAGCGUCGGCUGAUCUUUAACAGCCUGGACGCCAUCUCCCUGAGGUGGGGACAGGUGUUCACACAGAAAGCCAUCUUCUCCUGUCUCCUGCAGCUCUUGAGUCUGAUCCAUCACCAGGUCCUGCCAAGCUCACUUCCACGGCCACCACUCUGUUCCUGGCCACCACCUUCUCUGGCACUGAAUGCUGCUGUGGUCCCCACACCCAUCUCUCCCUGAGGCCACUCUGGCCUCCCUCCAAGUGCCUUCUCUGUGCUGGCUGAUAGCUCAGAUCUGAGCCCCCUUGCCGUCCUUGCAUGACCUCAGGAUGUUUCCUGUUGUCCUUAUCUUGGAAGGAGCCUUUGAACCAGCCUUACUCUGGCAUCUCCUUUUCAGGCCUUCUUCAAGCUCCAUCUCCUAAGAGGGCCUCUCUGCACACAGUUUUCUCUGCCUGCAACGCCAUUCCCUGUGGCUCCGUUUCAAAGGACUCGGCUAUCAUGUGUUUGUCCCAGUCCUGAGUGACCCUCUGUUCCCAUCUUUUAAACUCCACUCACGGCAUGUUUUGUACGUGUAUACUGAGAAUUUAAUGUCCAUCCAUCUCCCACACCACACUUCAAGCCAUCUCGUGGCAGGGAUUUUGCCUGUUUAAAAGGUUCCUCUUCUAGUCCCCUAAUCUGCGGGGAUUUUUAGUAGUGGUUUUCAUAAAUAUUUGUGGCAUGAUAACUGAAUGAACUCUUGUGAAUAA